GUCAGCCAGGGUCUAACCUGCCACGUAGGUAUCCAAACUGUUGAACAUUAACUUCUGAGAAGGGGUUCCAUGGGUGACAGAAGCCACUAGACGCCAAAAAAAAAGGAGGGGAGAGAGACAUUGAGAAACCCAGAAAUGGAGGGCAAGUGGAGGAAGCUGCCCACACUUCUGUAUUGGAAGGACUGAGGUGUGUGUGUGUUGGGAGCAGGGGGGCAGGAGGUGGGAGAUACUGGGGCUAGGGCCUGGGAAACCAGUGGCAGCCAGGCCUCAGGGAGGGAGCUCCGUGGAGGCUGAGCUGUUGCUGGGUCUGACUCUUCAAGCUGGGAGAGCUGGGACUCUUCAAGCUUCCUCCUGGCUUAGGCUGAGCCCAGCAGCACAGGUGCAUGGGCCCACACUUCACUGGCCAGCCUGGGCUACAAACGGUAAUCAGAAAACCAUGAAACAGACCCAGGGGUAGCUUCCUACUGAUCUUCAGGACUCCCGUAGUGCCUGGUAGAGCACACACCAUGGAGAAUAGGAUAAACAACAGAGGUGGGCUUUAUUUAAAACACACACGCACGCACACACACACACACACACACACACACACACACCUGAGACUAGCUUUCAAACUAAUGAGCCACUCCUCAACUUAUGCUCACACAUACGCAGCUAGACCCUACACCCACAGCAUUCAACAGCACACAAUAGCUCUUCUCUGAAACAGCUGCUCACUGGAGCCAAUGCAAACUCUGUGUUGACACCAUACAGGACCUCUUAAUGAAGAGAUUUAGGGUAUCAUGAGGUCUCCCAGCUCAGAGGAAGACUAUGGGUUCCCUUUAUCCAGCCAGCUUUACCCCUCACGCAGCCUGUGGCUGGGUUCAAGGGAGACACCGGUUGCUGGAGGUUUCCUUUGUUUCUGGCCUCAAUGGCAGGAGGCACACGGGCCCAAAGGAAAAGGCAUUCUGGGAUGGAAGUCAAGGCCCUGCCAUGGAAUCAACCAAGAGACCCUGGGGAACUCCUCGGUCUCAGGCCACCGCCGGAAAGCAGAAGGCUGUGACCUGCUCAUGGCUAUUGGGACACACAGCAGAUCCUCAGUCAAGAACACCCCAGGAUGCUGUUCUCUGAAGCUUAUCUCUGGAAAAGGGGCCUGUGGUACCUAAUCUGACAGGUGUGAGCAUCAGUGACACGGAGACCAACAGUAGCCGUCGCCCAUAGGCAGGCACCCUCCUUGGGACUUUGUUACAUUGAUCCUUGAUCUCCACAAGAGCCCUUUUAGGCAGGAAAGUUAUAUGUAAUAGUACCAUAGCUCAUCCCUAGAAGCUCACACCGUGGAGCCUGCCUGGCUGACUACAAUCCUCCAGCCACUUCUCGAACAGGCAGGCUGUGUGUGCAGGCUGUGAGUUGAGCCGGGCCAGCGCUCCCAUGUUGUCCUUGACAACAGCCCUACUUGAUGGUUCAAGAAAUGAGCCUUCAUCCAGGCCCAGUCAACUGUCCAAGGUAGCAAGCAGGCCGAUGAGUAGCACCUACUAUGAACAACCCGCUUCCAGAACUCCAUGCCUUCCCCCAAGUCAGCCUGCUUGCCCGCUUGCUACUACGGCUGAGUGGACCCUUACAGUCCAGAAGCUCGAUGCCCCCUGAUCCUCUGGAAGUGGACAUGUGCACUCCUCCGUGCCAGCCUCAGCCUCAAACGCACAGUGCUGAACACCUGUUGGCCUACCACAGCAUCAAGCACAAAUCCGUUCCUCAAAUAGAGCGGAAGUGUCGCCACGUCCUAACCUCGUCUCUAGCAAGCGAGGGAAGCUGGUCUCCAUAAACACAGUUAUUUUGGAGGUGGACAUUCUCAAAACACUGAGCGGGCUGGCUGCGGGGACGCUGGUGUUUGUUUGUUUCUUUCCGUUUUUAAACUAGCAGUGGUAGCUACAACAGAAACGUCUCUGCCGUUUGGGGACCAGAAGACGGAGACUUUCCUCCAGCCCCCAUGAUGGUGCUGGUCAGUGAAGCUAGUCAGUUCGAGGGAUUGCAAAGUAAAUGCUGUAGCCAAAUACAAGAGGGCAAAGUGAUGUGUUUAUAAAGAGAUAUAAGAUAUGUUCUAUGGGGGGAGGAGGAGGGAUGGUGGAAGGGAUAUACAGCGGGCCCAUGCCAAGGCAUCCCUUCCCCUGAGGGGCCAGCCACAGGAUGGUAGAGUAUAAAACAGAGUUUAUUCAGGGCAUGGGGAGGGGAGCUAAGAGGGUAGUAAAGGGAGAGAAAGGCAGAGGGCGAGAGAGAAGUAGAUGCGGGCCAUGGCCAUGAGAACGUGAAGAAGGGGAGAAGGAAAGGGAAUGGGGAAGGGGAGAGCAAGAGAGAAGCAAGGCAGCAAGCAAGAGAACGAGAGAGAGAGAGAGAGAGAGAGAGAGAGAGAGAGAGAGAGAGAGAGAGAGAGAGAGAGAGAGAGAGGGAGAGAGAGAGAGAGAGAGGGAGAGAGAGAGAGAGAAGGGGGGGCAAGCAGCCCCUUUUAUAGUGGGUCAGGCCUACCUGGUUGUUGCUAGGUAACUAUGGGGUGGAGCUUAGACAGAAAGCUAACAAAAAGGCUUCCCGGUGUUACAGGGCAGUCCCCAGGGGUUUAGGAUGCUUGGAUCACAACAUGAAGUCCGAGCAGUCAGAAGAUGACUAUAGCCCUGCAUAACACCUCAGCCUGGAAAUGGGAUUCCGCUCCUCUCUGGGGAACAGCCCAUAAGACCCCUCUACUAAGCAGCAAUCAGGUGGGAGGCUCUAUUCCCUAGUCGGUAUGCUGUGUGUGACCCCAGGGAGGUGUCCCAGUGGCUGCUACAGAGGAUCAAAGGCCAGCCCUGUGAGGAGCCAGCCUCCUGGAGAGUCUCCGCAAGCAGAGAGGCAUCCAAUCUGGCCAGGUGGUGGGACGGAUCAUCUUUCAGGCGACAGCUGUUUCCGGAACACCUACUAGUGGUAGGGCUCGAGCCAGAUGAUCUGGCCUGCCUCCUCUACAGGGGCCUCUCCCUGGGAACUGGCCAUGAGGCUAGAGGGAGGAUUAUCCUGCUGGAAAGAAGCCCCUACAUCCUGGGUCCUAUGGACCAUGAUGAAUGCAGAUAGCCACACACACACACACAAAGGACUUUGUUUAUCCCCUAUGAAGCUGUAAAUGGUUAACGGAAUGGGUGUGCCAAUCACCCUGGCUAGAUCAUUACACUUAUAUUUGCAUGAGAGCUUCAGAGUGUACCCCAUAAGUAUGUAGUCAUCCAUCAUGUGUACACCAACUGAAAACAAAGCAGACAGAACUCCAAAGAAUUCCAACCAGCUAGCUAGGCUGAGAAAAAGAGCCGGAAACAGAAAGCUCAGUCUAUCUAAUCCUAAAGCGGGCUCCCAGUCUCUAGCAUGUUCUGCAAUUGCUAAGGAGGAGGCACACCAACGUGUUGGUAAUGACCAAUGAAACACUAGCAGAAGCCCUGAUGGGAAGGCUGACAACAGAUGGGUCACCUGUCACACCAACAGGACUGCCAGACACAAGGGUCCGUGGAGUGGGGACACAGGAAGGACUCCCACAAAGAUUCAAGCCUAGCCUUUCAAGGCAAAUUGACCAUUGCUCUGGAUGAGCGAUCUCCAAUGGAGAUGCAAUCUGAGCUGUAAAAGAAUCUAUAAAAUCUGAUGUCCAUUUGAUGCGUUAAUACAUUUCCAUCAGGACCAUCCGCAUUUCCAGAGCUCAGAGGCCACACGGGCCCAGGGACUGUGGGACAACACAAUAAAUGCUAAGAACCAGAAAUUCACAGGAAAUAAAUAUAAGGCUCAGAGGGAAUCCUUAAGGACGCCGUGAAGAAAGAAUCAGCCAAGCCCCCAUAUGGAAAACCAUGCAGGAUGGAUGCCUGAUUUGAAAAAAAAUAUCUUAAAUUCCUCUAGAGACUUAAUAAGCAGACAUGCAGAGGCCACCAUGUCUGGACUCUUAUCUGAACGAAUCCUGGUGAAAUAACUUGAAAAUAUUGCCUGGGGAACUGGAGAGAUGGCUCAGCAGUUAAGAGCACUGACCGCCCUUCUGAAGACCCUGUGUUCAAACCCUAGGAACCACAUGGUGACUCACAACCAUCCGUGAUGAGAUCUGACGCCCUCUUCAGGUGUGUCUGAAGACAGCUACAGUGUACUCACAUGUAAUAAUAAAUAAAUCUUUGGGCCAGAGCGAACAGGGCUGGAGUGAGCAGAGGUCCUGAGUUCAUUUCCCAGCGACCACACAAUGGCUCACAACUAUCUGCAUAGUUACAGCGUGCUCAUAUACAUAAAAUAAAUAAAUAAAUCUUUUUUUUUUUAAUGAAAAGAAAAUAUUGCCUGGGCUUUUGAUCACAGAAAAUGACUAUCCGUGUGGUAGUUGUGACCUUAUUUCUCUCAAAGAGCCCAGGCCAGAUGUGGUGACGCAAGCCUUUAAUUCCAGCACAAGGGAAGCAAGGAUAGGAGAAUCCCUGUGGGUUUGAGGCCAGCUUCAUCUGUCUGUAUGAAUUCCAAGACAGGGCUACAUGUGGCACUGUCUCAAAAACUAACUAAUUAACUAACUAAUUAAAAGAACGUGGGCUCAUUCAGUAACGUGCUGGUCACACAAGCAUUAGGGACUGAGUUCAGAUCCCCACACUCAUGUAAAGGGCCAGAUGUGGUCGUCAGUGCUGGUCAUCUCCAGCACCAGAGAGGCCGAGACAGGAAGAUGCCUGGGGCUCCCUGGCCAGCUGGUGUAACCGGAUAGGUUAACUAGAGAUGCAGCAAGAGACCACCCUGUCUCGAAAACUAAAGUGGAAGGGGUUAAGUUGGGUGCACACCUGCCCAAGCACAUUCACACUGCACGCAAGCACACAAACACACACCUACUCUUUUUUUUGGAGAUCACUUAACCACAAAUAACGCAGUGGCUGGGGCAGAGGGGUGUCCACACGUUAGCUCUGCCACAAGGCAGGUCAGGAAUGGGUUAACUGCUGGAGCAGCUGAUUGGCAGGUGGGUGAAGGGGCUACUUUAUUCUUCUGGAUCUUGGCACAUGCUUUCCCCAAAUGAAGAGUUGCGCUUCUUUUAAUUAAGGAGAACCCUCUGCAACAGCUGCCCUGACAAAGCACCCAAUAGGGGCGGUGGUGGUACGAUUCUGGAAUGGCGCCUUUGAGGUUUAAAUCCUGGCUCUUUCUGUGGCUUCUUCUGUGACUUCAAGGAUGUCCUGCUGGCUGUAAUGCCUCAGUUUACCACUAAGCGGGACUGGUGUCAAAAACUCCACCCCUGAGGGACUGUUCUAAGGGUUAAAUAAAACUAUCCAAACAGGCUGGAUUAAGCUUAGCUGCAGACACCCACCAGUCCAGUGACCAGUCAUUGGUAUCACCAUCUUCAGUAAAGAAGGUGCCAGUCAUACGGCCCACCCGGGCAAUGUCACUCUGAUGAGUUGUGGUUUCCCAUCCAAGGGCAUAACGGAUCCUCUGUGGAGGCCUUGGAUGGAUGUAAGGAGCUUCGGUCUCCAUCAGACCUUGAGAACCACAAGUCGUAGCUUGAAGGAGAGGCAGUAAGGUAAAAUGAUGUUGGAGACACUGGUCAAUGCCCCUUUAAGGCACUCAGCCUAUAGGCAAAGCCAAAGUCAGUGGGGCUUUGGCCAAAUGCCCUGUCCGAGACAGAAGCAAAGCACCUUCGUCUCAAACCCCAAUGGCAAUGAUCUGAAAACAAAGCUCCAUUUGGCAAGCAAACUGAUUCAGGCUGGAAUCCUUAUUCCUUCUGCUUCCUGCUCUGGCCCUCCAGGGUAUCAUCCAGCUGUCACCUCCUAAACACUCAGGAAAGACAGGAAAACAGCACAGUGACAGGGCCAGGCAUGUACAGCUGGGACAGAGGGUUUCCCAAGAGAUACAGGGCCAAGCCUUGGGUGGUCCAGGCAGAAUUCUGCGUCCUCAGGCCAUCUGUGACAUGCUGCUCUGUUUAUGUGGCCUCACUGUCCCAGACUCUCAGGACAAAUGGAAGCUGUAGAAAGAAGGGCCGGGGGCUGGUGAGAUGGCUCAGUGGGUAAGAGCACCCGACUGCUCUUCCGAAGGUCCGGAGUUCAAAUCCCAGCAACCACAUGGUGGCUCUCAACCAUCCGUAACGAGAUCUGGAGUGUCUGAAGACAGCUACAGUGUACUUACAUAUAAUAAAUAAAUCUUUAAAAAAAAAAAAAAAAGAAAGAAAGAAGGGCCGGAGAGGGAGGACCCCAGAGCAUGGCUCUGUCAACACCGACCAGCUCCCAGGCACAGGUAAGACAGACGUGGUUUUUUUUCAAGUGAAAGGUCCUAAACUCUAGAGUGUCAGAGGCAGGGCAAUACAGAAAGGACAAAGGACCCUCUUUGUGGAGAGCCCAAGUCAAAGAGCCCAUGUCAUGCCCACAGCCAAGGGUACCCUACCUGAAUGGUACAAACCACCAUCACCAUCACUCCUUGAGGAGGGGAAGGGGAGUGGCAGGAGGAAGAAGAACUCCAGGAGACUGCCCUGUGCAAAACCUUCUCUUUGCCCAUCUGACCAGCUAUGGAGAAGAGCUAGCGAAAGCCCACUACAGGGCGGGUGACAUGUGCUGAGGAUGACAUUGGGAGAUUAGUGUGAGCAUCACUACCCAUAAGCCCUCCGUGGGGACUGGUACCACUCCUUCUCCUUGAAGAAUGCCCUUCCUAAAAAGCAAUACCUUGUCAUAAAAGUCUCCAUUUCGGAAGCAGAGUAAAAAGGGGGCCAGAAAUAAUGCACUUGGGAAUUCUUUGCUGGCAUCGGAGACUGCCGCCAGGCACAAAGAGGUACCCACACGCCACUCUUUAAGUGAGGUAGCUUUGUCUCAACCCGCUCACCUCAGCUUAUCCUAGCUCAGGGUGCCAGGUUUGACUAAGCACAUUCUAGAAAAGGCCCUGGGAUGGGAGAUCCCCACCCUGGCACCUGCUCAGGUCCCUGUAGCAAAAUCUGAUCACUCUGCAGCAUUCCAAGGACCAGGCCAGAGCAGUCAACUGGUACCAGAGGUCACAGGGGCUUGGAAACACGCCUCUAUGACCAGGCUGUCCCAUUUCUGAGACAGGGAUGGCCGUGCAUUUGUCUCAGAGAUGGACAGAGGACAGCCACUUGAAAGAGCCAAGGACUGGAAACACAUCCAUCUGCAGGAAGAUGUUUAGAUAAAUUCCUAAGAAGGAAGAGUCCCUAGCCACAGAGAAGCCGGCAACAACCCGUUGUUAUUGUUUAGACUGAAAACGGCCUGCGACGUGUGUAUACAAUUCUGUCAUCUGUUUAAACAAGCAUGGAAAAGAAAUAGAAUUUGUAUGUGUUCGCUUCUGUCUACUAAGACUAGACUAUCUUGGGACAGGAGGGCCAAGAAUGUGUGCUUCUGUCCUCUAUGAGGAGGGGACAGGUGGCUCAGCCACAGGAUAAGAAAAAGGCCUGUCCUGUGUAUUUCAGUUACUAAAGGGCAUACUGUGUAGACAUGAGGACCUGGGUCCAGAUGCCCAGCGCCCACAUAACAAGCCAUAACAUACGUCAGCACAUGCUUGUGUUCCAAAAGCAGAAGGAGUGGGCUCCAGAUUCAGGGAGAGACCCUGCCUCAAAAAAGUAAGGUGGAGAGAAAGAUGAAGAUAUCCAAUCUUGACCUCCAGCCUAUACACAAUCAUAUAUAAACAUGCAUGCUCACACACAUGGACACACACAUGCACACAAUCAAUCAGUCAUCAAUGGAAGAGACUAGCCCCACCGUCUGGACCAAUAUCUCCCAGCAGUCCCCCACUACCGAGCAUCCCCAACCCCCCCCCCCCAAAAAAAAACCCUCAACACAGAGCAAAGUACUACACAGCCACCCAACCAAGAAUUCCAUUCAGGCUUCAUGUUUAAUCUCAUAAGCCUUGUAAAUUUCACAUUCCACUCCAAAUCUGUGCCUGCCUUAAUAGCAAAAUAAUAUUUUAAACGGCUCCCUGGUUUAAAUGGUUUAACCUCUGCCCCCUCGGCCAAAUCUUCUAAAGUGAAUGAAGCCAGAAAAGGCUUCACGGUCUCUAUUGCGCGCCAGUUAAACUCAGUCACCUUUCCACCUCAUAGGAAACAAACCCCCCUCUGCCAGGUCUCUGGGCUGUGUUUUAAAUUACAUAUUAGUUAAAGCACUCAACCUUUCUCCUCUGGGUGCGCAGGUCAAAUGAAGAAGACAGGGCAGACACAACCUGGCUUUCUCCAUCUCCUGUCUCCCCACAGGCAGCAACACCCCAGUUUGGAAGGAGUUUGGGGUCCUCUUUGAAGUCUGCAGGGGAAGAGUAUACAGGACCCCCAGAAAUCUGGGGUGGGACAAACGUCCUUUCUUCGGGGAACAUUCAGGAACAAGACCAAUCCACUUCAGUUUCAGAGGCUAAACUUUAUUGUGCUCUUUCCAUAGGGAAGACCUUUGCCCAUAUCUCACCGCCCCUCUUAAGCCAUCCCUGGCGCUGGCUUCCAGUUUCCAAUGACCCUUCCAGGGUACAAGGCCAAUUCUGUUUUGCUGCUUUUUUUUUUAAGUCCAAUAAACUGCAGUUAACGCUCACUAUAGAAUGAACCGGCUGACUGUAAGUAACUGAGCCAAGUUUCACUUCUCAAGAAACCAAGGUCAAGCUCUCCCCGAGCUUUCUCUGAAGGAGGGGGAUGUGGGGGGGAUGUUUCUCAAACCCUUUUUUUUCCUGAUGGCUGUCUCAGAGUCCAAUUCAUUAAGUGCUGUGGACUGGUCCCACUUGCAAGCCCAGAAAGUCACAAACCUAGAUCUAAUCCCAGAUAGGCCACUCGUAACUGCGCAGCCUAGAAGAGGUCCCUUAACCUCCCUGG
Mus musculus (house mouse) is the source of this 8749-nucleotide long non-coding RNA. RefSeq annotates it as predicted gene, 51554. The transcript has 2 exons. The record is from RefSeq and is a predicted model, not a curated record. Lineage: Eukaryota; Metazoa; Chordata; Mammalia; Rodentia; Muridae.